UUGUACACCUGAAUUCAGGACUUGUGGACCC
RNAcentral lists this non-coding RNA (31 nucleotides) under Homo sapiens (human). Lineage: Eukaryota; Metazoa; Chordata; Mammalia; Primates; Hominidae. The record is from RNAcentral.